UACAGGGGGAGCGAACGUUACUCGGAAUCACUGGGCAUAAAGGGCGCGUAGGCGGUCCUGUAAGUCGGAUGUGAAAGACCUUGGCUCAACCAAGGAACGGCAUCCGAUACUGCGGGGCUUGAGGCCGAGAGGGGCAAGCGGAACUCCUGGUGGAGCGGUGAAAUGCGUAGAUAUCAGGAGGAACACCGGUGGCGAAGGCGGCUUCCUGGACCGACACUGACGCUGAGGCGCGAAAGCUAGGGGAGCAAACGGG
This 253-nucleotide ribosomal RNA is filed under the name uncultured bacterium. RNAcentral's name for it is "partial 16S ribosomal RNA". It matches the Rfam family "Bacterial small subunit ribosomal RNA", at positions 524 to 776 of the family's 1533-position model. The record is from RNAcentral.